CAGUAGCCGCGGGAAUACAGAGGAUGCAAGCGUUAUCCGGAAUGAUUGGGCGUAAAGCGCACGUAGGCGGAUCCUUAAGUCAGAGGUGAAAUCCCAAGGCUCAACCUUGGAACUGCCUUUGAUACUGGGGAUCUCGAGUUCGGGAGAGGCGAGUGGAACUGCGAGUGUAGAGGUGAAAUUCGUAGAUAUUCGCAAGAACACCAGUGGCGAUGGCGGCUCACUGGCCCGAUACUGACGCUGAGGUGCGAAAGCGUGGGGAGCAAACAGGAUUAGAUACCCCAGUAGUCCCUGUCUCUUAUAC
This 301-nucleotide ribosomal RNA is filed under the name uncultured bacterium. RNAcentral describes it as "partial 16S ribosomal RNA". It matches the Rfam family "Bacterial small subunit ribosomal RNA", at positions 509 to 807 of the family's 1533-position model. The record is from RNAcentral.